Acinonyx jubatus (cheetah) is the source of this 4716-nucleotide long non-coding RNA. RefSeq lists it as uncharacterized. The record is from RefSeq and is a predicted model, not a curated record. The transcript is spliced from 2 exons. NCBI's taxonomy places the organism in Eukaryota, Metazoa, Chordata, Mammalia, Carnivora, Felidae.
ACAGAAUCCAAAGUAGGCUCCAGGCUCUGGGCUGCCAGAACAGAGCCCGACACGGGGCUCGAACCAAUAGCAGGAUCAUGACCUGAGUCAAAGUUGGAAGCUUAACUGACUGAGCCAUCUGAAAUUGGCACCCCGAGAUCGACAACUUCCUAAACCAACCAAGGAUUGGGUUAAAUUAAACUUUAUAAGGUUGUAUUUAUGAAAAAAUGAUGUAUUAAGACAAAAUUUUAAAUGUCUUGUACUUGACUGAAUUCUUCCUUUUAAUGGAUUAAUAUUUUUCCCCAUUUAAAAAAAAUGGUCUAAAAUAUAAUUUGUGGAGAUAAUUAAGGCCACAGUAGUGUUUUAGAAUCAGUAAAGGAAAAUAGUUCUUAGUAAAGUUGCUCAAUAAGCCUAUAUUCUGGAAUCCCAAUACUCUGUUCUAGAACCUGUGUGUGGCCAUGGUCUAGAGCCAUCUGUGGGAGAUGUGCCUCAGGAACCUCCAGACACGUAAAUGCAGACCCUCAAGAGCAAUCUAUGCCUCCACCUCUAUCCCAAGGGAUAACCUUACUUACAAAGUUUAAAAGUGGACAGUUGGGAACUGGAGCUGUGGUAAAGGUAAGCGGUUUUUCCAGAGGUUUAAUCUUGUCCCGAAUAGAGGAUCCCUCAUUUGCAACUUUUGAUCCCUUGGUUGGACUUGAACUAAGAAUUCUGAGGGCUGUCUGUGUCCCUGCUCUGGUUGGUCUCCAAGCUAUCCUUUGCCAGGCUUUCUGCUGUGAAGAGGUAACCGAUCUCCAAAAUAAUGGCAGGUACUUUGAGAAACGUUUCUUAUUUCUGGGCUCAGGAGAGUGUUCUCAAAUCAGGCCCACCUGUUCCCUGUAAGGGCAGAGGAGAUUAGCUGUUCAAAGAUGCAGAAACCUGCUCUUUCGUUUCCAUCCGCUUUCGGGGACAGAUGCUGUGUAGACGCUGAGAAGCUGAACUGCCCUGGGCCCUUUGACCAGCACGUGGGGCAAAGCCCAGAAGGUGCACAGUCCACUGUGCAGCCAGGACAACAGCCCCCUUUCUAGGGUGUGCAGUGGCAUGCUGGCGCAUCCCUGGUGUUCACCGUGAGCCAGGAGUUAUAAAAAGAGCAUACAAAGUAGGAAAGGAUGUGAGGAUGCUGUGUCUUAAAGUGUCUCCAGGUAAUGUGCGCAGAGCAGAGUACGGUAUAAAGGGGCUUUGCGGCAAAAUCAUUCUGCGAAUCGUAAGGUGAAAAUAAGUCAUGCGUGGCCUAGGACAGGGCUGCUCUGGAGAACUUCCUGUGGUGGCAGAAAUUUCUAUACCCCAUUCUGUGUGGUAGCCACUAGACGAACGUGGUUACUCAACCUAUGUGGGUAGAGACGUGAGGAGUGGAAUUUUAAAUUUAAAUGGCUACAUGUGGUUAAUCACUAGUGUAUUAAAGAGCACGGAUAUGAGAGAAAACACAUUUGUAUAUAUAUACUCUCUAUAUAUUCAUUUUAUAUAAAGGAGAAUUUUUGUAAAAUUUGCGUGUAAAACUGCUUUGGACUAUGUUUACUCCAAAAACUUCAAACAGCGUCUACAGAUCUAGGUCUACCCACUGCCCACGUUGUGUUCCAAGCCUUGGGAUUUCUUCUCAGAGAAUGCCAUGUGAUUGGUAUUCAGUGUGGUCCCCUGACAGAUCUGCCUAGAUGCACACUCUCCUCUGAGUCUACAUCGGGGCUGUAUGAACUUGUCAUACAUGCUGUGGCCCCAACACACCCAUCUCUGACAACCGCUAAACCCACUUUUGCAAUAAAGCUUUAUAAAGCACCGCUUCAGUUCCUGUGGUGCCUGUCUUCACUCUGUCGCCCUCUGGCUGGUCCUCACUACUGCAUCUUACCCGUAUCAUCUGGAAGUCUGCUCACAACAGGUUUUAUCCAUGUCAAACUAGCCGGUUGGAUACUGAAGACCACCAGUUAGAUGGUCUUUCAUUCUGUGUGCUACAUGUACCAAGGGUAGGUACUGGGCAAGGCCUGGGGACUAGGUGCUGUAAAAAAAACUUAAGAAUGGGUAAUCACAAAGACUACAUUUCUGAAACUACAAACCAAGGCACAUUGGUAAAAGAUUUUCAGCCACAGCCAGUGAGUGGCAAGAGGCAGUCUGGGAGAUACUGUUUGGAUGCCAAAACCUUUGCAGUGUAUCUAUCAGCAACAGACUUCGUGAUGGCCAGGUCUUCUGACAGAAGCGGUCUAUGAGCUGGAGUGUCCUGCCUCUAAAGUAGUAGCUGCCUUUUCACAAUUUGCAUAAGCAUUGAAAUAAAUUAGCAUUUGCACUUUUUUUUUUUUUUAAACUUGCUUUGCUUGGUUGUUCCCACCGGUCUAUCCUGAUUUAAAUAUGAGGUAACUCAAUAUUUUAGCACAAAAUCAUGUAUUAACUGAAGUUCAAUCUUUUUUAAUGGUUCACGGAGUUGCACACCAAGCAGCAUGGCUUCCCUCAGUAACACAGUCCCUGUCUCAACAACCACCAAAGACAGGAAACGAGGCAAGAUGACCUGAGAUUACUUGAGUGGUACUGGCAUGUGGCGUUCCACUCCGGAGAGGGCUCUCCUGGUGGACUAGGGCUUCAUGGAGAGCUCUGAUGUGGAGGAGACUGGAGCAGAGCCUUGGGAGGAAGAGCAGGGACAUCUGGCCAGCACUGGCAGAUUCCUGAUCAGUCAGCCGACUGCCCUGUGUGCUUGGCACUGGCCUUCUGUGCACUCAGGCUCUCCAUUCAGCCACCCCUGCUCCAGUGGGACAUACUGUGAUCUCAGCUUUCCUGAUGGAAGCAGACUCUGAAUGGCUCUGGUCUUCUGAAGAGGUCUCCAUCAGGAAUCUGAGGGGCUGUGAGCAGCCACUACAGAGGAGCCCAACCAGCACCCGUCCUGGAUCCCACCUGUGCUGCUGCGAGAGGUCCCGGCUGAACUGAAGCAGGCACUAUCACACCAGCUCCCACCUCAUUUGCUUCUGACACUCCACUCUUCCUACUGCAGACCUCUAAUCUAGUGCAUCUCCUGUCUAAUGGCCUUAAUGUCUCCCUAAGUGGCCCCAACCCUCCAGUCUCUUCCUUUUCCAAGACUGCUUGUGGUCACAUACACUUGCAUCUCAAUUCUGCCAUUCUUCUAUUGAACAACCUUGACUUCACACUGUCAGGUCCAAACUCCUGCCAAGCUCUGCAUGAAGGGGAACAACUGGCCUCUGGCUUCAUCUCCUCCCCAUCCACAAGAUGAACUGGGCAGCCCAAUGAACUGAAGUUAUCUGCCACUCCUUCCAAAUCAGUUGCACUUUCCCAUGGUGUAACUUUACUGUGUGUCUUUGCCUGGAUGCUUCCUUAACUCCUCUUGUACCACACCUUCCCAUAACCCAAUAUGUAGAUGGAAGGCUACUUUGCAAAGAUGGCCCCUCUUUUCUCCAGGGGCAAAAUCCUGACAUCUGUAUCUUCUCACCCCUACCAGGCAGAGAGCUACUAAAAGAGGGCUCAGCCUUGUCUACAGUCCCUAAGCCAGGUCCUGAACUGCUGUUGGGGGGCGGGGGGGCAGAUAAUAGCUGCUUCAACAGAGGCUGGAGGCUUUUACUCUGGCUUUCUCAUCUGAGGUCUUUAGCUUGAGGUUUACUAAUUCAGGUUUUUAGUGCUGUCAACUUGCCUAUGUAUAGAAGUAUACUAGAAGGAUAAUGCUUUUCCUGGAUGCUUUCCUAAUGUGUCAGCCUGCUAGAGGAGCCUAUAAACAGAAUGACCAUUUCUUUUACUUUUUACUUGCUUAGUAUCCUACUCCCACUAUUUUGUAGUAACUCACAAAUGAUGACAGCUUAAAAAGACUCUAGUGAUUGGCCUAGAAGGAGAUGCUCAGGGAGGACCAAAGGGGAUUUCUCAGUCUUGGCAUCUCCAAGAGACCCAGUGGCAUCUCAUGAGUCCAGAGGAGGAGUGUGCCUUUUGUGUGAGGACCGGAGAGCAGGGUCAUCCAUGCCACACCCAACGGCAGCCCCAUGCUUGUCGCUGAUUCUUACCUGGCUUCCCUCUUUUGUAGACAAGGCAAACUUUCCCAUUCCCAUCGCAAGGAUCCAGCUCAAAUAUCACACUUCGAGAAUCAAAGUGAGGCUUCUCUGGCUGGUUCUCACUGGCUGCAAAUCCAGAAGUUAAUGGUCAUGUUCAAACAUACUCAACUCAAAUACAUAAUUACUUGUCCAGUUUUGCUAGGGUGAGGAAAAAAAAAAAACAAAAACGGAAAAAACCUUAUCUCAGACAUAGUCUUUUAAAAAAAAUAUUAGAGAGAAAGAGAAAGUGGGUGUGCAUAUGUGGAGGGGAGGGGCAGAGAGACAGGGAGAGAGAACCCCAAGCAGGCUCUGCGUUCACAGAGCAGGGCCCAACAUGGGGCUUGAUCCCACAAACCAGUGAGAUCAUGACCUGAACUGAAAUCAAGAGUCAGAUGUUUAACCGACUGAGCCACCCAGACGCUCCUCUCAGACAUGGUCUUAACGACUGUUUCCAAUGUGGGCCAAAUGAAUUCUAUACUCUAAAUGCCCAGGAUUGUAUCCAUGGUUCAAGCCUUCUGUCUGGGCUUCUCCAUCACCAAAAGACAGUAUCACGCAAUCUGGGGGAAGGUGGCACAAGGAAAACAACCUGAACUUGCUGAGAAUGGGAAUACAUAAAGGCUAAGUAAUCUGGCCCGAUGUUGACACAACUGUUCUUUUCCCCAGAUAACUGCUUUCUCCUCAUUUAUAGCACUUU